GGGUUGUGAGGUUAAGCGACUAAGCGUACACGGUGGAUGCCCUGGCAGUCAGAGGCGAUGAAGGACGUGCUAAUCUGCGAUAAGCGUCGGUAAGGUGAUAUGAACCGUUAUAACCGGCGAUUUCCGAAUGGGGAAACCCAGUGUGAUUCGUCACACUAUCAUUAACUGAAUCCAUAGGUUAAUGAGGCGAACCGGGGGAACUGAAACAUCUAAGUACCCCGAGGAAAAGAAAUCAACCGAGAUUCCCCCAGUAGCGGCGAGCGAACGGGGAGAGCCCAGAGCCUGAAUCAGUGUGUGUGUUAGUGGAAGCGUCUGGAAAGGCGCGCGAUACAGGGUGACAGCCCCGUACACAAAAAUGCACAUGCUGUGAGCUCGAUGAGUAGGGCGGGACACGUGGUAUCCUGUCUGAAUAUGGGGGGACCAUCCUCCAAGGCUAAAUACUCCUGACUGACCGAUAGUGAACCAGUACCGUGAGGGAAAGGCGAAAAGAACCCCGGCGAGGGGAGUGAAAAAGAACCUGAAACCGUGUACGUACAAGCAGUGGGAGCCUCUUUAUGGGGUGACUGCGUACCUUUUGUAUAAUGGGUCAGCGACUUAUAUUCUGUAGCAAGGUUAACCGAAUAGGGGAGCCGAAGGGAAACCGAGUCUUAACUGGGCGUUAAGUUGCAGGGUAUAGACCCGAAACCCGGUGAUCUAGCCAUGGGCAGGUUGAAGGUUGGGUAACACUAACUGGAGGACCGAACCGACUAAUGUUGAAAAAUUAGCGGAUGACUUGUGGCUGGGGGUGAAAGGCCAAUCAAACCGGGAGAUAGCUGGUUCUCCCCGAAAGCUAUUUAGGUAGCGCCUCGUGAAUUCAUCUCCGGGGGUAGAGCACUGUUUCGGCAAGGGGGUCAUCCCGACUUACCAACCCGAUGCAAACUGCGAAUACCGGAGAAUGUUAUCACGGGAGACACACGGCGGGUGCUAACGUCCGUCGUGAAGAGGGAAACAACCCAGACCGCCAGCUAAGGUCCCAAAGUCAUGGUUAAGUGGGAAACGAUGUGGGAAGGCCCAGACAGCCAGGAUGUUGGCUUAGAAGCAGCCAUCAUUUAAAGAAAGCGUAAUAGCUCACUGGUCGAGUCGGCCUGCGCGGAAGAUGUAACGGGGCUAAACCAUGCACCGAAGCUGCGGCAGCGACGCUUAUGCGUUGUUGGGUAGGGGAGCGUUCUGUAAGCCUGCGAAGGUGUACUGUGAGGUAUGCUGGAGGUAUCAGAAGUGCGAAUGCUGACAUAAGUAACGAUAAAGCGGGUGAAAAGCCCGCUCGCCGGAAGACCAAGGGUUCCUGUCCAACGUUAAUCGGGGCAGGGUGAGUCGACCCCUAAGGCGAGGCCGAAAGGCGUAGUCGAUGGGAAACAGGUUAAUAUUCCUGUACUUGGUGUUACUGCGAAGGGGGGACGGAGAAGGCUAUGUUGGCCGGGCGACGGUUGUCCCGGUUUAAGCGUGUAGGCUGGUUUUCCAGGCAAAUCCGGAAAAUCAAGGCUGAGGCGUGAUGACGAGGCACUACGGUGCUGAAGCAACAAAUGCCCUGCUUCCAGGAAAAGCCUCUAAGCAUCAGGUAACAUCAAAUCGUACCCCAAACCGACACAGGUGGUCAGGUAGAGAAUACCAAGGCGCUUGAGAGAACUCGGGUGAAGGAACUAGGCAAAAUGGUGCCGUAACUUCGGGAGAAGGCACGCUGAUACGUAGGUGAAGCGACUUGCUCGUGGAGCUGAAAUCAGUCGAAGAUACCAGCUGGCUGCAACUGUUUAUUAAAAACACAGCACUGUGCAAACACGAAAGUGGACGUAUACGGUGUGACGCCUGCCCGGUGCCGGAAGGUUAAUUGAUGGGGUUAGCGGUAACGCGAAGCUCUUGAUCGAAGCCCCGGUAAACGGCGGCCGUAACUAUAACGGUCCUAAGGUAGCGAAAUUCCUUGUCGGGUAAGUUCCGACCUGCACGAAUGGCGUAAUGAUGGCCAGGCUGUCUCCACCCGAGACUCAGUGAAAUUGAACUCGCUGUGAAGAUGCAGUGUACCCGCGGCAAGACGGAAAGACCCCGUGAACCUUUACUAUAGCUUGACACUGAACAUUGAGCCUUGAUGUGUAGGAUAGGUGGGAGGCUUUGAAGUGUGGACGCCAGUCUGCAUGGAGCCGACCUUGAAAUACCACCCUUUAAUGUUUGAUGUUCUAACGUUGGCCCUAUCGGGUUGCGGACAGUGUCUGGUGGGUAGUUUGACUGGGGCGGUCUCCUCCUAAAGAGUAACGGAGGAGCACGAAGGUUGGCUAAUCCUGGUCGGACAUCAGGAGGUUAGUGCAAUGGCAUAAGCCAGCUUGACUGCGAGCGUGACGGCGCGAGCAGGUGCGAAAGCAGGUCAUAGUGAUCCGGUGGUUCUGAAUGGAAGGGCCAUCGCUCAACGGAUAAAAGGUACUCCGGGGAUAACAGGCUGAUACCGCCCAAGAGUUCAUAUCGACGGCGGUGUUUGGCACCUCGAUGUCGGCUCAUCACAUCCUGGGGCUGAAGUAGGUCCCAAGGGUAUGGCUGUUCGCCAUUUAAAGUGGUACGCGAGCUGGGUUUAGAACGUCGUGAGACAGUUCGGUCCCUAUCUGCCGUGGGCGCUGGAGAACUGAGGGGGGCUGCUCCUAGUACGAGAGGACCGGAGUGGACGCAUCACUGGUGUUCGGGUUGUCAUGCCAAUGGCACUGCCCGGUAGCUAAAUGCGGAAGAGAUAAGUGCUGAAAGCAUCUAAGCACGAAACUUGCCCCGAGAUGAGUUCUCCCUGACUCCCUGAGAGUCCUGAAGGAACGUUGAAGACGACGACGUUGAUAGGCCGGGUGUGUAAGCGCAGCGAUGCGUUGAGCUAACCGGUACUAAUGAACCGUGAGGCUUAACCUUACAACGCCGAAG
This 2922-nucleotide ribosomal RNA is filed under the name Escherichia coli. RNAcentral's name for it is "23S ribosomal RNA". It matches the Rfam family "Bacterial large subunit ribosomal RNA". The record is from RNAcentral. Lineage: Bacteria; Pseudomonadati; Pseudomonadota; Gammaproteobacteria; Enterobacterales; Enterobacteriaceae.